GACGAACGCUGGCGGCGUGCCUAAUACAUGCAAGUAGAACGCUGAAGGAGGAGCUUGCUUCUAUGGAUGAGUUGCGAACGGGUGAGUAACGCGUAGGUAACCUGCCUGGUAGCGGGGGAUAACUAUUGUAGACGAUAGCUAAUACCGCAUAAGAGUAGAUGUUGCAUGACAUUUGCGUAAAAGGUGCAAUUGCAUCACUACCAGAUGGACCUGCGUUGUAUUAGCUAGUUGGUGGGGUAACGGCUCACCAAGGCGACGAUACAUAGCCGACCUGAGAGGGUGAUCGGCCACACUGGGACUGAGACACGGCCCAGACUCCUACGGGAGGCAGCAGUAGGGAAUCUUCGGCAAUGGACGGAAGUCUGACCGAGCAACGCCGCGUGAGUGAAGAAGGUUUUCGGAUCGUAAAGCUCUGUUGUAAGAGAAGAACGAGUGUGAGAGUGGAAAGUUCACACUGUGACGGUAUCUUACCAGAAAGGGACGGCUAACUACGUG
This 495-nucleotide ribosomal RNA is filed under the name uncultured bacterium. RNAcentral describes it as "partial 16S ribosomal RNA". It matches the Rfam family "Bacterial small subunit ribosomal RNA", at positions 28 to 507 of the family's 1533-position model. The record is from RNAcentral.